RNAcentral lists this long non-coding RNA (219 nucleotides) under Setaria italica (foxtail millet). RNAcentral's name for it is "long non-coding RNA (SITA_LNC003723)". The record is from RNAcentral. Lineage: Eukaryota; Viridiplantae; Streptophyta; Magnoliopsida; Poales; Poaceae.
AAAUUCUAUGUGAGCAUUAUGUUUUCUUGUGUGUGAUCAAGUGUAGGAUUGAACACCGAAAGGCGACGCUGAUUUCUGUUGAAGACUUACUCGAGGACGAGCAAGGUUUAAGCAUGGGGGGAUUGUUGAUGCUCACUAUUGAUACACUUUUACCCUUGUUUAUCUUCAAUAAUUACAUAAAUUUAAUACCCAAACUAUUGAUUACACCUAAUAAAUUGG